Equus asinus (donkey) is the source of this 123-nucleotide small nuclear RNA. Its record names the gene U2. It matches the Rfam family "U2 spliceosomal RNA". From Rfam's summary of the family: U2 is a small nuclear RNA (snRNA) component of the spliceosome (involved in pre-mRNA splicing). NCBI's taxonomy places the organism in Eukaryota, Metazoa, Chordata, Mammalia, Perissodactyla, Equidae. The record is from Ensembl.
AUCGCUUCUCAGCCUUUUGGCUAAGAUCAAUCGUAAAUAUUUCUUUAUCAAAUAGUCUGAGGUUUUUUUCAAACUAAUCAUUUGAUAGAGAUUACAGUUUUUUCUACAGGAAAUGAGGUUUUA